This is a long non-coding RNA of Passer domesticus (house sparrow), 428 nucleotides long. RefSeq lists it as uncharacterized. The transcript has 3 exons. The record is from RefSeq and is a predicted model, not a curated record. NCBI's taxonomy places the organism in Eukaryota, Metazoa, Chordata, Aves, Passeriformes, Passeridae.
AGAAGCAAUGAGCUUCUGGGAGGUUUGUACAGUGAUCAGCAUGGCUUGCUGGGGUCCCGCAUCUCCCCCUGCCCAGGGGUACCAGAACAGGCACAGAGCUGAAAAAGGAGCCCACAAGGCAGGAGAGAACCAAAUAGAAAUGGAGAGGAGUUUUUGUUGAUUUCUCAGCAGUAUAACAAGUCCCUGAAGUGAGGAAGAAUGCAAAGCCUCAUCCAAAGCAUCACAACAAGAAGCUGGAAACCCUCUGGAGAUCUGCAGUCCGCCAGUGCCUCCACUCUGCUGAUCUUGUCUAAGCUGUGCUGAAUGAAGGUUCACAAUGCCUAAAAUUUUGGGAUACAACUCUUGCUUGUCUGCAAUUAAAUUAUUGCUAUGAACAGCACUGCAGCUAAUGCAGCAUGUCUUUAAAUUGCAUUCUCCAAGGCUCAGAC